AUCCUGUGUUGAGGACACUUCCUCAAUAAUUCCUUGUAUCGUUCAUAUGCUUCGUACAAUGUUUAGGACUCCAUCUGUCUGAAAGAAGAUAUGUUGUUUUUGAGCUU
Small nucleolar RNA from Dioscorea cayenensis subsp. rotundata (Guinea yam), 107 nucleotides. The record is from RefSeq and is a predicted model, not a curated record. Lineage: Eukaryota; Viridiplantae; Streptophyta; Magnoliopsida; Dioscoreales; Dioscoreaceae.